UGGGGAAUAUUGGACAAUGGGGGCAACCCUGAUCCAGCCAUGCCGCGUGAGUGAUGAAGGCCUUCGGGUUGUAAAGCUCUUUUGGCGGGGACGAUGAUGACGGUACCCGCAGAAUAAGCCCCGGCUAACUUCGUGCCAGCAGCCGCGGUAAGACGAAGGGGGCAAGCGUUGUUCGGAAUUACUGGGCGUAAAGGGCGCGUAGGCGGUUUGCUUAGUCAGGCGUGAAAGCCCUGGGCUUAACCUGGGAUGUGCGCUUGAUACUGGCAGGCUUGAGUGUGGGAGAGGUCGGUGGAAUUCCCAGUGUAGAGGUGAAAUUCGUAGAUAUUGGGAAGAACACCGGUGGCGAAGGCGGCCAACUGGACCACAACUGACGCUGAGGCGCGAAAGCGUGGGGAGCAAACA
Molecule: ribosomal RNA, 402 nt
Filed under: uncultured bacterium
Lineage: Bacteria
Description: bacterial SSU rRNA
Rfam family: Bacterial small subunit ribosomal RNA
Source: RNAcentral